AUGACCAAUGUCUAUAAGAUUAACAUCUGCACAAGACAUGGCAAGGUUAUAUACAAUCUUACGGCACAAGAAUCUGCUGGCCAGCCAGGGUUCGAGUUGGAAGAAAUGGAAUAUUUAUCUUUUUAUCCCAUCUUCCAGUUUCUUGCAAAUACUGUAGAAUGACUUUAUUAUAGCAUCAUUUUACGUCCAUUUUGCGCCCAAAGCCUCCACAGUAUGGUUAGCGUUAUCUUUUCUCUCCCCUUUUGAGAAAAUUUAGCAGGUUUCAGGUACUUACAAUUAGACUUUGUGGACAUGCAAUUUUCUAGAUAGAUGACUUGAUUAUUAGCCUGCAAGGAAUAGUCCAUAUCUGAAUGAGGUCCUGGAUUUUAAUUCUCAUAGUUCCGGCUAUCAUUGUACAAUUGUUAGUCACCAAGAUUGUUGGAAAGCAUCGAUAAACUUGAAUCUGAAAACCUCAGGCCAUGAAAGCAGAGGACAACUACCAAAUUGAACUGUUUCUCUGUUUCAUCCUUCAAAAAAAAAAGGGGUUAAUGCAUCUCAAUCUCAUCAUUGAAUUUGACUAGUGUAUGCUAUCAGGUUUUUCUCUACUCAUCAUAUAUUGGAAAACCUCCUGUGCAAAUUGAGAAAGAUACUAGACGCCCAAAAUAUUUCAGUCCUGGUGAAGCAGUCGGGUAUGGUGUCAUUGACAAGGUAUUGUACAAUGAAAGAGACUGAGCAGAUCAUGGUGCCAAAAUUCAGAGCAUAGGAAAGCCUGUCUUGCUUAGGUGUUAGAAGUAGCAUCCAUUUGUACGAGAUCAUCAUUGUUCCUUUCUGUAAAGCAAAGUGACCUUGAACAAGUUGGUGGGUUUGCUAGAUUUCAAAAGAUGAUCUUAUACCUUUUAUCUACUUGCACAAAUGCUAUCUUGUUUCAAGUGUUCAGUUUCUAUCUCUUGUAUUUGUGGGAGACUAAUUGGCUAGAGUUAGGUGGAUAGAAAUCCAAGGAGACUAGGAAUGUCAUUGAUGCUAUUAUUUUCGAUGCUAACCCACUUGUUUUUUUUUUUUUUAAUGACAGGUAUCAUGGUUAUUAUGUGAUUAUUGCUUGUAGCCCCAUCCUAGCUCCAAGAUAUGAUUGUCAUUGACAGACUAAGUCUGAUGCUUUAUGAUAGUGAGAUGCUACAAUGGUUUGCAUAAUCUUAUGUAGUUGUGAACAUUUUAAAUAUUUUUGCUUUGCUU
Non-coding RNA from Elaeis guineensis (African oil palm), 1209 nucleotides. The record is from RefSeq and is a predicted model, not a curated record. Lineage: Eukaryota; Viridiplantae; Streptophyta; Magnoliopsida; Arecales; Arecaceae.